GACGAACGCUGGCGGCGUGCUUAACACAUGCAAGUCGAACGGAAAGGCCCUGCUUUUGUGGGGUGCUCGAGUGGCGCACGGGUGAGAAACACGUGAGUCACCUGCCCUUGCCUUUGGGAUAACUUCAGGAAACUGGGGCUAAUACCGGAUAUGAGCUCUUGCUGCACGGGGGGGGUUGGAAAGUUUCGGCGGUUGGGGAUGGACUCGCGGCUUAUCAGCUUGUUGGUGGGGUAGUGGCUUACCAAGGCUUCGACGGGUAGCCGGCCUGGGAGGGUGACCGGCCACAGUGGGACUGAGGUACGGCCUGGACUCCUACGGGAGGCAGCAGUGGGGAAUAGUGCACAAUGGGCGGAAGCCUGAUGCAGCAACGCCGCGUGCGGGAUGACGGCCUUCGGGUUGUAAACCGCUUUCGCCUGUGACGAAGCGUGAGUGACGGUAAUGGGUAAAGAAGCACCGGCUAACUACGUG
RNAcentral lists this ribosomal RNA (468 nucleotides) under uncultured bacterium. Its description in RNAcentral is "partial 16S ribosomal RNA". It matches the Rfam family "Bacterial small subunit ribosomal RNA", at positions 28 to 507 of the family's 1533-position model. The record is from RNAcentral.